AACCGGUUCUCGUUAGAUCACCGAAGUCAAGCAUCAUUGGGCGCGGUCAGUACUUGGGAGGGUGACCACCUGGGAACACCGCGUGCCGUU
RNAcentral lists this ribosomal RNA (90 nucleotides) under Caerostris darwini. The record is from RNAcentral. Lineage: Eukaryota; Metazoa; Arthropoda; Arachnida; Araneae; Araneidae.